GACGAACGCUGGCGGCGUGCUUAACACAUGCAAGUCGAACGGAAAGGCCCUGCUUUUGUGGGGUGCUCGAGUGGCGAACGGGUGAGUAACACGUGAGUAACCUGCCCUUGACUUUGGGAUAACUUCAGGAAACUGGGGCUAAUACCGGAUAGGAGCUCCUGCUGCAUGGUGGGGGUUGGAAAGUUUCGGCGGUUGGGGAUGGACUCGCGGCUUAUCAGCUUGUUGGUGGGGUAGUGGCUUACCAAGGCUUUGACGGGUAGCCGGCCUGAGAGGGUGACCGGCCACAGUGGGACUGAGAUACGGCCCAGACUCCUACGGGAGGCAGCAGUGGGGAAUAUUGCACAAUGGGCGGAAGCCUGAUGCAGCAACGCCGCGUGCGGGAUGACUGCCUUCGGGUUGUAAACCGCUUUCGCCUGUGACGAAGCGUGAGUGACGGUAAUGGGUAAAGAAGCACCGGCUAACUACGUG
RNAcentral lists this ribosomal RNA (468 nucleotides) under uncultured bacterium. RNAcentral's name for it is "partial 16S ribosomal RNA". It matches the Rfam family "Bacterial small subunit ribosomal RNA", at positions 28 to 507 of the family's 1533-position model. The record is from RNAcentral.